This 3227-nucleotide long non-coding RNA is filed under the name Daphnia magna. RNAcentral's name for it is "uncharacterized LOC116934249". Lineage: Eukaryota; Metazoa; Arthropoda; Branchiopoda; Diplostraca; Daphniidae. The record is from RNAcentral.
UCGAAGUUCGUAGCACACGCUCGUCAUGGUCAUUCGUCGUCCUCUUCGUGUGGGCUGAGUAGCCGUGAAAUAAGUUUCGGUGUGACAAAAAGUCUAAGUUAGAUACGCAAAAUCCAAGGUUUUGUUUUUUAUCUUCGUUUCUACUAUGGUGCUUGGCAUUCAACAUUUUCGAUUAUUCCCUUGGGCAGAAAAAUGACACGUGGGAAGGAAGAGGCACCAGAAUUUAAGUCCACUUUGCAAAACAACAAGUAAACCCAAUGCUCCAAACAGUGCAAAGAAGAUCAGCUCAUGACAAUGUUAUAUGUGCUGGCUGAACUAAGGCUUAUUUCUGGCACUAAGAUUUUAUUCAAGGUUAACCACAUAGCUACAAAUUCACAAGAAUUCAUGUGAAAGUUAAAAGACACUGUCUUCACAGAGCACACAGUAUGCUGGCUGUUUGUGUUAAAGGGGUAAAAUGAGUUAGUAAACUCAGAAAACUACCAGCUAAGCAACAUCAAGUAAUUGCCACCGAACCUUGCUUGAAAUACGUGGUGGCCGUUGUAAUAAAGAACUACGAUUUUAUAUUUCCGUAAUAAGCAAAUGCCGCUUCGUUGCUGACGGAGUGCAAAGCUGUAGAAAUAAAGCACUUGAAAGACUAGGGUGAGUUCCUUUAGUAUUUACUUCAAGAAAAUAUAAUGCUUCAGUUGUCUUCGUACGAAAUCAAGCUUUGGAUUUGGAAGCAUCGGACAUUUUCAACGAUUCGACGCUCCCAGGGAGAAUCAAGUUCGCCAUCAACGAAUGUCCAAUUUUGCGCUACAAUUAUUCACACCCUCAAAUGGGACAGGUUUUCUUCCCGUGCCGGUUGUUUGAGUACAAUCGAAAAGAAAAAAAUGUCGGGAUUCAUGGCCAAGCAGUGACUAAUAGUAAAUUAAGCGCUACAUGCUUGUGUCAACAAGUGACAAUCUCCUUUAAAAAAAAAAAGACACGGCAUGCCAAUCCAUCAGAUCCACUUUUGCUGCUCAUUUCCAAUUUGAUUUGGUGUCAACAAAAAAGAUAGUUUCAAUGAAAAAUUCUAUUGUCGUCUGGAGCUCGUCGUCAUUUUAUUGGCGACAGUUUUGGUCUGUCUGACGACGAUGUCUGAAUCCAUUGUCUAUUUCAGAACCAGUUUCCUUUUUUUUUUUCGUGAUCAACCUCGUAGCCGAUGACCCCAAAACCCAAUAACAAAGAGAGAAAAAAAGAAAAUCAGUUCCUUUUCUUGAGUUUACUGCAACAUGGGAAUGUAAUUGACCGUUUUUUAGGGGGGAUUACGACACAACAGUAUGUGUACUACAUGUAUAAACGAGUGCAGGUAGAGGCGACGGCCACGGCAGUUUGAAUUGAUUAAAGUGCUGCAAUGGCCAACUGCCUUUAUUUUUUAAUUGGCAACAUACGGCUGAAAAACGUGACACAUUGUCUACACUCUGCUUAAAAUCUGAAAUCAAUACGUUAUCGACCACACACACCCAAAAAAAAUUUAACGGUCAUAGUUUUUUGUGUAGGAUUCCAAAUACAUGACGACACCCCAGAAAAAGAAUUGGGAACGGAAAUGUACACUGCGGAUAAUAUUUUAUUUGUGGAGGUUUUUCGAGCUGAGAAAAAAGAAAACUUUCGCACUGUGUUCAACAGAAAAUACUGGUACAGGUAUAAUUUUUUUUUUCCAUCUUGUGGUCAGCACUGCUGGCCGUGCCCAUCAGCUUACUCAUACAAACAUUCUAGAGAAAUAGCUCCGAGCUAUGACAACGAUAUGAAUGAAAUAUCUCUCCCCUUCAAACAACUAAAAGCAAAAAAGAAGAACUCGUGAAACCAGGUGAAAGCUUUUUGUUGAAGGUAUAUAGGUAAAAUAAUAAUAAAAAAAGGAACAGAGACGUUUAAAGGCGGAUAUUAAAACAAGCCAGUUCAUGCCAAGAAGAUAAAAAAGAAUACAAGAAUAAAGGAGACGAUGAAACAAUGGGAGAAAUUCGUGAAGCGAUGCGAUUUCACGCUCCGUGAUGCAGCGCAGACCUACACACGAGAGGUUGGGGGGUUAAGUUUUUUUCUAUUUUAUUUUCUAUCUUCGUACGUAUUUUGGCCUUUAUUUAUUGCUAAGAAACAUAAAAAGCGAGAGCUUCUAUCGAUUCGGUUGAGGAAGUUCUUAAAGCCCAGCACACCAUUCAUUUCUGUUGUGAGCAGGAGUGAAAGCCUUCGCCGUCUUACGUGAUGUUUAAUGCAUCACACAUUCUCUGCCUGAAAAGAGCCUGUAGCUGCUACAGCAGCGGCUAAGCACCGUGCGUAGGUGUUCCACGGACAACUAGAGUUUACGUGAUAUGCCUUGGAGCUGGCAUCGUUCAAAGUCACACAAAAUGUGAUUGUGUGAUCAUGAUGAUUAGCACCGCCAUUGUUAGUAUAUAGAGCAUCAAUCGCUUGCAAACGGAUGUAAAUGCAAUUUCUUCGUUUGCGUUGUUGACGUUGUGUUAGUGAAAGAAGAAAGGGCCGCGCCUUUUGUUUGUUUUUUCUGUGUUCUCUUGUUUGUUUGAUGACGCCAAUCACAGCAGUCCAUUGUGUACCAAAGACCAGUCGAUAACAACAACAAAGCAAAAUUCGCUUGGAUUUUAGACAAAUUAUUGACUGAUAGAUGGCGUUGGCCGAAGCAGACGCCCAUCCUUUUUUGGUCUAGCACUGUAGUGGGUACCUCCUUCGCUCGUGGAUCUCAGUGCUGAGGGAACCACGGUUGCUCGUGUGUAAUGCGUGGUCCGUGUCUUAACAAAAGUUGACUGUCAAGCCGAACGUUUCAUGCUUCAUCAUUGUGAGUGCACGUCGUCGUGUCGUCUAAUAACUUGUGCUAUGUAAUUCAUCACUCAGUUCGCCCUUUUGUUAAACCUCGGGAUGAAAGAUGAUGAGACAGUUCUCCAGUUUUAGUGAAAUAGUUAACCUAAAGAAUUCGUUGCUUUCGACCUUUUCGAAAGUGAAUUGAAGCGUGGAAAGGAAAAUUCUUUUUUCCAAGCCAUCAACUGCAGCAACCAAAAGGAAGCAGUCGAUUUGUCUUGCGUGUGUCUGUGUAUAGACAGUGGCGCCAUUUGGAAAAAGCCCCCUCGUUGUCUGCGUGUGUGUGUGAUUCAUCCACUGCGCUUUUGCCUUCUUCUAGAGAUUGGCAGACCUCAUCGACAACAACGUGCCGCUCCCUUUUGAAUUAUCUUUGUAUCGCAUUUUCCGGUGGAUCAGAAUAACAACAA